AAAGGAGGAGAUUUUGGUGGUGUUGGAUUCUGUGUUAGCCCUUUCUUUGAGCUUUGCAAUGGAUUUUGCUGAGAAAUGGAAUAUUCUCUCUAAAAGCUCGGGUGCUUCAAAUCUGGAAAUGAACUCAUCUUGGUUAGUGAAAGGAAGGUUAAGUAAUGGACCAUGACCCUCUGGAAACCAUUUCUCUAACACUGGAGGACGUGAGAUUUUCAAAUUAGUAUCUCCUUGUGCUUGAAAUAUUUCAGACAAUGUGUUGAAGAAAUGCCAGAAACUGGUUCCAUCGCCAAUAGCAUGGUUCAUAGAACAACCUAUGAACACCCCAUCUACCAGCUCGGUGACUUGAAUCGAUAACAAAGGCCUGGUGUGACCAUCAUAGUUGAUUGCUCGAUCAUGGUCGAAAAACGAUUGAACAACCAACGGAACAUAAGUAGGGGAAACAAUGUCGGACACAGAUAAAUCAACAGCUGCAUGUAUAAAUUUGGCUCCUGGGCUGUUAUUGCAGUCCACAAAGACGAAAUGAGACUUUGGGUUUUCUUCUAUUUUCGUUGCGAGCCGACCUGCUAAGGGAUAGAAAUGAACGAGGGCUAUGGAAAGGGAUUGCUUGAGCCGAUCCAAGACAUUGUUGAUCAAGUCUUCUUCACAGUUAUCCUCUGGUUUAGCAUAGAGAAGACCCUUUUGGAUGUAUUGCACCGAGAGCAUAACAAGAUCCCAUGUUGUCAAAUAGUAAGGCUGUUUUGAUUGAUCAGAAACAUGUUGUGGUGUAACAUAACAUUCUGAGAUGAUUCGAACUGAUGAUGGAUCCAUUCUUUUUGUUGCUAGAGAGGAAGAGGGUAAAGUAUAUUUAGAUUGGAUUAGCAGGGUUGUUGAAUAUUGAAGUAAUGAUGUGUUUAUAUAUUGAUGGUUGCUCAAAACGAAGAAAUAAAAUUAUUUUGCUUGGUCUACUUUUGAUUCGCAGCUUGGCUUUAUGUGGUUAUUGAAUUGCUGGGAACCAAGUCAAAUAUUGUAGCAAUAUUGAUUAUAUAAUAAUUUUAAUUUUUAAAAUUGGAUUGAUAAUUGAAUUAAUUAUAUCAUUAGUUCUCAAUUUAUCGGCAAAUUCAAUCAGUUAAAACAAAAAAUAAGAAAGGAAAAUGUCUUGAUCUUUUGUCUACAUUUAUUUUAGAAGUUUAUGUCAAAUAUACAUGACGAUUUGAUAUUUUAACCAGUUCAAUUAAUUAUGAUUUCGAUUCAUUAAUGGUUCUAAAUAGUCUACUCAAAACUCAGUUUAUUACUCUUAUUUAGACUAAUACACUCAUCAAUUUUCGAUUUAAUUAUUCCAACUGAUCACUCUAAUCUAAUUCGAACAACAUUAAUUAUAUCCCUUAAAUAUACUAAUAGUUAAAGUUCUAAUAAAAAAAAUCCUUUCACCAAUCACAUGAAUAAAAACAAUUUAAAUGAAUUGAAGAAAGGAUUGUCGCAUUAAAAAGUAGGUAGCCAUCCAAGUAGUGAUGGUUGUUAGAGUUGGGAAAGCUCCUACGCAAUGUUGGACGACUUAGGGUCUAAUUUAAUAUAAAGUUUGAUUGUGAAAUUUCCCACAUGAACGACAGAAAAGUUAAUCAAGUUCACCAAUCACAUGGGAACUUUCGGUUUGUAUUAAUAACAAAACUAUUCCACAUUCAGUUAUUAAGGAAAAAGAAUUUUUUCCAUGUACUAAACUUGUUCUCUUAAUAAAUAAUUUUCCGAUAUUGUAAUAUUUAGAUUAUCGAAAUUUCGAGAUUCUAAAUUGUUUUUAGAUUUAAUUGUUACUUUGAGUUUAGGGUAUUUAAGUUUAUAUAAUUUAGAUUCGAGGUUCAAAUUUUUUAAAUAUUAGAUUGUUAUAAAUUUAAAUUAUUUUGAGGUUUAAUAACUUUAUGUUCAAGCCAUUUUGAAUUAUUUGUUUGGAACAUUUUAAAAUUUAGUUGUUUUAAUUUGAAUAGCUUCAGAUUUGAGUCAUAUUAAAGUUUGUGUCAAUUUGAGUUUAAAUUAUUGAUUUUUUAUGAUCAAAUCGAAUUAAAUCAGAGUUUGAAUUCAAAUUGAAUCCUUGUAACCACCAAAAAAAUAAAAGUAUAGAUAAAUGUUCCAAACUCAACCAUACAAUACCAAAAUUUCUGUCACUGAAGAGACAUGGUUAUCAUUCAAAGAUAGUGAAGCCAAUUGAUCUGCAGGAUUGUUGACCAGUGGCUUUGCAGCAACACUCUUCAACACCUCUAAGGCCUCUGCUACUUUAGCUUACAAAGCUUCGGGUGACUCAAUGAGAUGCAAAACUUAAGUUUGGUCCAUCUCUAGAAGCAUGCCGGUACCCUUGGCUGCUGCAUCACGCUCGAGAUGUUCCUCAUGGGGGUAUAGGCAUUCACCAAGCAUCUGAUCACCAGUCACAAAUUGACAAUAUAAAGGUCUUGAAGGAAAUUAAAUUGAACAAAAUAUAGUCACGGAAAUUGGAAAAACAAGACUCACCGUCCUUUGUGUUGAAAAGACAAAUUAAAAGGGGUGUUGAAAAGUCAAAAAAAUGGGAGGUGCAAGUGGCACCGAAAGAAAAAAAUGGUAGGCAAGUUGUUUAAAGUUGAAUGGGAUAAUUGCAAUUUUGGUCCCUAAUUUUUUAGGCCAUUUGCAAGUUAGUCCCUGAACCUCAACUAUAAAUAGGCCUAACCAUUUCUCAUUUACACCAUCCCAACCAAUCUUUCUCUCUUAGAUUUCUUUCUUCUCCCAUUUGAGAAUUCUCAAGGAAUUCUAUUUGUUUGUAAUAUUUUGAAGAUAGUAAAGUUAUCAUCUGGUGUUAGUGCCCGAGGACGUAGGUAUAAUUUACCGAACCUCGUUAAAACUCUUGUGUUCUUUCUUGUCCUAUUUUUCUUUCAAUAUUUGAGGGUAUAAUAGUAGUAUUUAAUUGUGCUAUUAAAUUACUAUAGAAGGGAUAUUCUGACUAAGGAAAGACUUGGUAUUUAAGAGAUCCAUGUGAUCCACCUCUCUUCCCUGGGAAUUGAACUUUGUGUGAUUUUUUAGUACAAUAAUUUACACGCUUCCGACCCUAUUGGAACAACAAGUGGUAUCAAGAGCCGAAGGUUAAUCGUAGUAUGCUCUGUGGUUGCAGUUUAAACUGAUCUUCCACAUCAGAAAAGAUUUCCUUAGGUAUAUUGAAAGAUUAUGGAGAAAACGGUCGGUGUAGGAGCUUCAACAUCGUCCAUGUGGACAAGACCGACAAUUGCAAAUGCAAGAUUGGCCGUGGAGAUCUUUGAUGGCACGGGCCAUUUUGGUAUGUGGCAAAGUGAGGUUCUAGAUGCCCUUUUUCAGCAGGGUCUAGACAUUGCCUUUGAUGAAGAGAAACCAGAUGAUGUACAGGAGAAAGAUUGGAAGGCGAUCAAUCGGUUGGCAUGUGGCACAAUUCGAUCAUGCCUUUCUCGAGAGCAGAGGUAUGCUUUUUCAAAGGAGACUUCUGCAAAUAAGUUGUGGGUGGCACUUGAAGAAAAUUUUUUGAAGAAAAACAGUCAAAAUAAGCUCUACUUGAAGAAAAGAUUGUUUCGCUUCACAUACGUCCCAAGUACCACAAUGAAUGAUCACAUCACCCAAUUUAAUCAGUUAGUCACUGAUUUGCUGAAUAUGGAUGAGACAUUCAAAGAUGAAGAUUUGGCUUUGAUGCUGUUGGGGUCACUUCCUGAGGAGUUUGAGUUCCUAGAAACUACUCUACUUCAUGGCAGGAGUGAUAUAUCUCUAAGCGAAGUCUGUGCGGCCUUAUACAGUUAUGAACAGAAAAAGAAGGACAAACAGAAAAACUCAAUCAGAGAUACAGAAGCUUUAGUAGUCCGAGGUCGUUCAUACACUCGGAAGAAAACUCAAAAGGGGAGAUCAAAGUCAAAGUCCAGACUCGGGAAAGAUGAAUGUGCUUUUUGUCAUGAGAAAGGCCACUGGAAGAAAAAUUGUCCAAAGCUGAAGAAUAAGGGAAAAGCUGCUGUAGAUGCUUGUGUUGCUAAGCAUGAUACUAGUGACUCUGAACUAUCAUUGGUUGCAUCAUCAUCGUCGUUCCAUUCAGAUGAGUGGAUAUUGGAUUCGGGUUGUACCUAUCAUAUGUCCCCUAACCGGGAGUGGUUCUCUGAUUUAGUAGAACUAAAUGGAGGAGUUGUUUAUAUGGGCAAUGACAAUGCCUGUAAAACUGUUGGGAUAGGUUCAAUCCAAUUAAAGAAUCAAGAUGGAUCAACCAGAGUUCUGACUAAUGUUCGGUACGUGCCCAGUUUGAAGAAAAAUCUCAUCUCAUUGGGAGCCUUGGAAUCCAAUGGUUCAGUUGUUACUAUGAGAGAUGGGAUUUUGAAAGUGAUAUCUGGCGCACUUGUGAUAUUGAAGGGCAUCAGGAAAAAUAACUUGUAUUACUACCAAGGUAGUACUGUUAUUGGAGCAGUCGCUACAGCUUCCGGUAACAAAGAAUUGGACUCAAUGCAGUUGUGGCAUAUGAAGUUGGGACAUGCUAGCGAAAAAUCCUUGCAAAUUCUGGCAAAGCAAGGAUUGUUGAAAGGUGCAAAGGCUUACAAAUUAAAAUUUUGCGAGCAUUGUGUUCUGGGAAAGCAAAAGAGAGUGAAAUUCGGUACUGCUAUCCAUAAUACAAAAGGUAUUUUGGAAUAUGUUCACUCAGAUGUGUGGGGGCCUUCCAAGACACCUUCAUUGGGAGGAAAACACUACUUUGUUACUUUUGUUGAUGACUUUUCCAGAAGAGUUUGGGUGUAUACCAUGAGAACUAAGGAUGAAGUGCUUAGAGUUUUUCUUAAAUGGAAAACUAUGAUCGAAAACCAGACUGGCAAGAAAAUCAAGCGGCUUAGGACGGACAAUGGAGGGGAAUAUAAAAGUGAUCCGUUCUUCGAUGUGUGCCAAGAGUAUGGUAUUGUUCGACACUUCACAGUUAGGGAUACACCACAGCAGAAUGGAUUGGCAGAGCGUAUGAAUCGAACAUUGCUGGAGAAAGUUCGAUGUAUGUUGUCCAAUGCUGGGUUGGGCAAGCAAUUUUGGGCUGAGGCUGUGACAUACGCUGGCCAUCUUGUUAAUCGUUUGCCAUCAUCUGCAUUAGAAAGAAAAACUCCUAUGGAGGUAUGGUCUGGAAAACCGGCUACAGAUUAUGAUUCCUUACAUGUGUUUGGAUCCACUGCAUAUUACCAUGUGAAGGAGUCAAAGUUAGAUUCGAGGGCAAAGAAAUCUCUCUUUAUGGGAAUCACUUCUGGAGUGAAGGGAUUUUGAAUUUGGUGCUUAAGCACAAAGAAAAUGAUCUGUAGCAGAGAUGUUACCUUUGAUGAAUCUGCCACAUUGAAAAAGGUAGCAGAUAAAGAUAUUCAGACGAGCAACACUCCACAGCAGGUGGAGUGUACUCCAAAACAGGUGGAGUUUGAGCAGAUGGGGAUUUGCCCAGUUAAUAAGUCUAAUUCUCCAGCCACAAUGGAGGAAUUAGAGGUUGAAGAGGUUUUGACCCAAGAACCACUAAGUACACCAGAACCAGUUGCAGUUGCAAGGCCACGGAGAGAAAUUCGUAAACCUGCUCGAUUUACUGAUAUGGUGGCCUACGCCCUUCCCGUUGUUGAUGAUAUUCCUAUCACUUAUCAAGAAGCAAUGCAAAGCUUAGAAAGUGAUAAAUGGAAAAGCGCCAUGGAUGAAGAAAUGCAGUCUCUCCUAAAGAAAAAUACUUGGGAAUUGGCACAAUUACCGAAAGGUAAAAGGGCAAUCGGAUGCAAGUGGGUAUUCGCAAAGAAAGAUGGAUCUCCUAGCAAGAAGGAUAUUCGCUACAAGGCAAGAUUGGUAGCUAAACGCUACGCUCAGAAUGAGGGAAUUGACUACAAUGAUGUAUUUUCCCCUGUUGUGAAGCAUUCCUCCAUUAGAAUUUUGUUGGCCUUGGUAGCACAGUUGAAUUUGGAACUAGCUCAACUUGAUGUUAAGACGGCUUUCUUGCAUGGUGAGUUAGAACAGGAGAUCUAUAUGACUCAUCCCGAAGGAUACACAGAUGCUGGUGGUAGAAAUUGGGUUUGUAAGCUGAACAAAUCGCUAUAUGGAUUGAAGCAAUCCCCGAGGCAGUGGUACAAGCGAUUUGAUAGCUUUAUGAGAAGGCAGAAGUACACAAGAAGCAAAUAUGACAAUUGUGUGUAUUUGCAGAAGCUGCAUGACGGAUCUUUCAUUUAUCUACUCUUGUAUGUUGAUGAUAUGUUAAUCGCUUCGAAGAGCCAAAAAGAGAUAGAUAAGCUGAAGGCUCAGUUGAAUCAAGAGUUCGAGAUGAAAGAUCUAGGUGAGGCCAAGAAGAUUCUCGGCAUGGAGAUAAAUAGAGAUAGACAGAGAGGCAAGCUUUGUUUGAAUCAGAAGCAAUAUCUGAAAAAGGUAUUACAAUAUUUUGGUGUAAAUGAAAACACAAAACAUGUAAGUACCCCACUUGCUUCUCAUUUGAAACUUAGUGCUCAAUUAUCUCCGAAAACUGAAGAAGAAAGAGAAUAUAUGGCAAAAGUCCCAUAUGCUAAUACAAUUGGGAGUUUGAUGUAUGCGAUGGUGUGUACGAGGCCUGACAUUUCACAAGCUGUUGGAGUUGUGAGCAGGUAUAUGCAUGAUCCUGGAAAAGGACAUUGGCAAGCUGUGAAAUGGAUUCUACGGUAUCUUCGAAAAACCGUAGAUGUUGGUUUCAUUUUUGAACAGGAUGAAGCACUUGGUCAGUUUGUAGUUGGAUAUGUUGAUUCCAACUUUGCUGGUGAUUUAGAUAAACGUCGUUCAACUACGGGGUAUCUGUUUACUCUUACGAAAGCCCCAGUAAGUUGGAAGUCUACCUUACAGUCUACAGUAGCUGUGUCUACUACAGAGGCAGAAUAUAUGGCAGUUACAGAAGCUGUUAAGGAGGCUAUUUGGCUUAAUGGAUUGUUGAAAGACUUAGGAGUUGUUCAAAGUCACAUAAGUUUAUAUUGUGACAGUCAGAGCGCUAUUCAUUUAGCGAAAAAUCAAGUCUAUCAUUCAAGAACCAAGCAUAUCGACGUAAGAUAUCACUUUGUGCGGGAAGUCUUUGAAAAAGGAAAAAUUCUACUUCAGAAGAUUCCGACAGCAGAUAAUCCCGCAGAUAUGAUGACCAAGGUGGUAACAACAAUCAAGUUUAAUCAUUGUUUGAACUUGAUUAACAUCCUGAGAAUUUGAGCACCUUUAGGUGUAUGGCGCUCGAGAGCGCAUUUGGAGGCACUACAAAAGAUAGCUUUAUCAAAUUUGGAGAGUUGAAGGAAGUAUGUGAAGAUGUGAUUAUCCUAAUCAAAUCUUCAAGGUGGAGAUUGUUGAAAAGACAAAUUAAAAGGGGUGUUGAAAAGUCAAAAAAAUGGGAGGUACAAGUGGCACCGAAAGAAAAAAAAUGGUAGGCAAGUUGUUUAAAGUUGAAUGGGAUAAUUGCAAUUUUGGUCCCUAAUUUUUUAGGCCAUUUGCAAGUUAGUCCCUGAACCUCAACUAUAAAUAGGCUUAACCAUUUCUCAUUUACACCAUCCCAACCAAUCUUUCUCUCUUAGUUUUCUUUCUUCUCCCAUUUGAGAAUUCUCAAAGAAUUCUAUUUGUUUGUAAUAUUUUGAAGAUAGUAAAGUUAUCAUCUGGUGUUAGUGCCCGAGGACGUAGGUAUAAUUUACCGAACCUCGUUAAAACUCUUGUGUUCUUUCUUGUCCUAUUUUUCUUUCAAUAUUUGAGGGUAUAAUAGUAGUAUUUAAUUGUGCUAUUAAAUUACUAUAGAAGGGAUAUUCUGACUAAGGAAAGACUUGGUAUUUAAGAGAUCCAUGUGAUCCACCUCUCUUCCCUGGGAAUUGAACUUUGUGUGAUUUUUUAGUACAAUAAUUUACACGCUUCCAACCCUAUUGGAACAACACUUUGUUGUUCAGGGGUUGCAUUUGCGAGAGCAGUAGCCAAAGGUUGAAGAGGCAUAGGCUGUCCAGUGCCAGCAUGUUGCAAUGGACCAGGCAAAUUACGACCAGGUCGGUAACGAUAGGCACGUCCCCUAGGAAUCAUCUGGAACAAGUUUAGUGAAUUAGAACAAAAGACUUCAGUCAAAGCAUAAGCAUAAGCAUAAGCAUAAGCAUAAGCAUGAAAUAGAGGUUAGUAUACACAUGUAUACAACUUAUUGGUUGCUGAGCCUGUUGAAAUGGACCUGGUCCGCGUCGUCCCCCUGGGCGCAGGCCCUGCUGUACCAUGGGAACAAAGAAAAUUACCAACUUUUUAUUUUCAAUGCCGAAAAAGAAAAUUUAUAAAAGGUGAUUCACUAAUGGUAUAAUUUAUCCAACUUUAAAUAGUUUUCCGCUUCAACUUUGGGCUCUUAUAUGUCAACAAAGGGACAGAUGUUUGGUGGUAAGGUGAGUAUUCGAUCGAGUCGAGUUGAAUUGAGUCAAAAAAUUUUGAGUUAGUUGAAUUGACAAAUCAUAUUUUAGCAACCAAACUCAAUUUGAAUUUUUUUCGAAUUAAAUCGAGUCAAAAAAAUUUUGAGUCAAGUUGAGUCGAGUUAACGAAUCCUAUUAUUUAUACUCAAUGUUGUGUUUAAAUGGGUAGUAGAUGAAGUACAAGAUUAUUUAACUACAUAAACAAUAUAAUGAUUUUGCCUUUAAACUUAAUAGGUAAAUAUUUAUCAAAACGACGUAGUUUUAUCUUUUAAUUUAAUGAUUUUGAAUUUUAACUUUUAAAAAAGUAAAUAUUUAUCAAAAUGACGUAGUUUUAACUUUUUUUAUUCGGAUUUUUGGAUAACUCGAAUUGUGUAAUUUAUAUUCGAGUUAAACCAAAAAAACUUAAUUUUUUUAUUCAAUUUUAUCCGAAUAACUUGAUUAACUCAAAAAUAACUUUCAAAAUUAAAAUUUUUUAUCUAAUUUUUCGAACCGAAUCGAAUUUUGCUCACCGGAUAAUACUUUUUGAGAGUAUCUUCCUUUUUACAUUUAUACUAUUCAUAAUGUUUUAUAUUGAUUAAUAUAGUGGAAUAGAAAACGUUUGAACAAAGCAACCCUCUUUCAAACCAAAGCACUUAAUCAAAGAAAAUUCAAUUUAACUUCUAUUCCCACAAAUCAAUUUCCACCACAGAAUUUUAUUGUCAGAUAUCAAUUCCACCACAAGAAACAACACUCAUGAACUCUUCAUCUAAUUCAAGAGCUUUCAUUAACGAUGGUAGAAGGCAAAUUUCCAAGUCAACACUUCCUCCACCUUCACGUCCUGGAUACGACGAAACUUUCCCAUCAAACUUAUGAGCAUAUCCACUUCGAAGCGUCAAUGCUUUCCCUAACCCGAACUCAUUUCCAUACUUGUUGAACCUUGGUGAGCUUCCCAUCAUCACAAUUUGUGGGUCAAGAAGCUGAGUAAACUGGUAAAUGAAAGGUGAAUCAAGCCAACGAUUGACCAAAUCACGCACUUCUUUAUCUGUAUGGUUAACCACAGCUUGGUGUAGUUUCCAAGCAGCCCAACCGAGACCAUGGUUAAGUAGUUCACCAGCUGUGGUCACUGCACUAACAGCAUGAAGUGAGUUACCAAAAUAAUCUGGGGAUAAAGCUGGUUCUAGCCUUGACCUAUUGUUUAUAGCUAACCUACAACUAGUGACUGUUUCGUUUGGGAAACGACGUGCCUUUGUUAUUGACUGCCAUACAAAUGCAGAUAAAGAUUGAAAGGAGGAGAUUUUGGUGGUGUUGGAUUCUGUGUUAGCCCUUUCUUUGAGCUUUGCAAUGGAUUUUGCUGAGAAAUGGAAUAUUCUCUCUAAAAGCUCGGGUGCUUCAAAUCUGGAAAUGAACUCAUCUUGGUUAGUGAAAGGAAGGUUAAGUAAUGGACCAUGACCCUCUGGAAACCAUUUCUCUAACACUGGAGGACGUGAGAUUUUCAAGUUAGUAUCUCCUUGUGCUUGAAAUAUCUCAGACAAUGUGUUGAAGAAAUGCCAGAAACUGGUUCCAUCGCCAAGAGCAU
Molecule: long non-coding RNA, 9906 nt
Filed under: Gossypium barbadense (sea-island cotton)
Lineage: Eukaryota; Viridiplantae; Streptophyta; Magnoliopsida; Malvales; Malvaceae
Description: long non-coding RNA (GBAR_LNC004872)
Source: RNAcentral